Molecule: non-coding RNA, 45 nt
Filed under: Echinostoma caproni
Lineage: Eukaryota; Metazoa; Platyhelminthes; Trematoda; Plagiorchiida; Echinostomatidae
Source: RNAcentral
ACACUGCUGACGAGCGCCAAACAGGACGAAACAGCUGUCCAGUGC